GUGAGGAAUAUUGGUCAAUGGACGAGAGUCUGAACCAGCCAAGUCGCGUGAAGGAAGACGGUUCUAUGAAUUGUAAACUUCUUUUGUGCAGGAAUAAAGUGGGUUACGUGUAACCUUUUGUAUGUACUGUACGAAUAAGGAUCGGCUAACUCCGUGCCAGCAGCCGCGGUAAUACGGAGGAUCCGAGCGUUAUCCGGAUUUAUUGGGUUUAAAGGGUGCGUAGGUGGAUUGAUAAGUCAGCGGUGAAAGUUUGCAGCUUAACUGCAAAAUUGCCGUUGAAACUGUCGGUCUUGAGUGCAAAUGAGGUAGGCGGAAUGUGUUGUGUAGCGGUGAAAUGCUUAGAUAUAACACAGAACUCCGAUUGCGAAGGCAGCUUACUGGGAUGCAACUGACACUGAUGCACGAAAGCGUGGGUAUCAAACAGGAUUAGAUACCCCGGUAGUCC
Molecule: ribosomal RNA, 445 nt
Filed under: uncultured bacterium
Lineage: Bacteria
Description: partial 16S ribosomal RNA
Rfam family: Bacterial small subunit ribosomal RNA
Source: RNAcentral